RNAcentral lists this ribosomal RNA (492 nucleotides) under uncultured bacterium. RNAcentral describes it as "partial 16S ribosomal RNA". It matches the Rfam family "Bacterial small subunit ribosomal RNA", at positions 29 to 507 of the family's 1533-position model. The record is from RNAcentral.
AGUGAACGCUGGCGGUAGGCCUAACACAUGCAAGUCGAACGGCAGCAUAGUAAGAGCUUGCUCUUACGGGUGGCGAGUGGCGGACGGGUGAGGAAUACAUCGGAAUCUACUUUUUCGUGGGGGAUAACGUAGGGAAACUUACGCUAAUACCGCAUACGACCUACGGGUGAAAGCAGGGGAUCUUCGGACCUUGCGCGAUUGAAUGAGCCGAUGUCGGAUUAGCUAGUUGGCGGGGUAAAGGCCCACCAAGGCGACGAUCCUUAGCUGGUCUGAGAGGAUGAUCAGCCACACUGGAACUGAGACACGGUCCAGACUCCUACGGGAGGCAGCAGUGGGGAAUAUUGGACAAUGGGCGCAAGCCUGAUCCAGCCAUACCGCGUGGGUGAAGAAGGCCUUCGGGUUGUAAAGCCCUUUUGUUGGGAAAGAAAAGCAGCAGGUUAAUACCCCGCUGUUCUGACGGUACCCAAAGAAUAAGCACCGGCUAACUUCGUG